Molecule: ribosomal RNA, 255 nt
Filed under: uncultured bacterium
Lineage: Bacteria
Description: partial 16S ribosomal RNA
Rfam family: Bacterial small subunit ribosomal RNA
Source: RNAcentral
UACGUAGGGUGCAAGCGUUGUCCGGAAUUAUUGGGCGUAAAGCGCGCGCAGGCGGCUAUCCAAGUCAGUGGUGAAAGCCCGGAGCUCAACUCCGGAACUGCCAUUGAAACUGUUUAGCUUGAGGAUGAGAGAGGUGAGUCGGAAUUCCCAGUGUAGAGGUAGAAAUUCGUAGAUAUUGGGAAGAACACCGGUGGCGAAGGCGGCUCACUGGCUCAUUACUGACGCUCAGGCGCGAUAGCGUGGGGAUCAAACAGG